RNAcentral lists this ribosomal RNA (253 nucleotides) under uncultured bacterium. RNAcentral's name for it is "partial 16S ribosomal RNA". It matches the Rfam family "Bacterial small subunit ribosomal RNA", at positions 524 to 776 of the family's 1533-position model. The record is from RNAcentral.
UACGAAGGGGGCUAGCGUUGUUCGGAUUUACUGGGCGUAAAGCGCACGUAGGCGGAUUGUUAAGUGAGAGGUGAAAUCCCGGAGCUCAACUCCGGAACUGCCUUUCAUACUGGCAAUCUAGAGUCCGGAAGAGGUGAGUGGAACUCCUAGUGUAGAGGUGGAAUUCGUAGAUAUUAGGAAGAACACCAGUGGCGAAGGCGGCUCACUGGUCCGGUACUGACGCUGAGGUGCGAAAGCGUGGGGAGCGAUCCGG